Molecule: non-coding RNA, 71 nt
Organism: Myotis brandtii (Brandt's bat)
Lineage: Eukaryota; Metazoa; Chordata; Mammalia; Chiroptera; Vespertilionidae
Source: Rfam
GCGUUGGUGGCUCAGUGGUAGAAUUCCUGCCUGCCACCCAGGAGGCCCGGGUUCCAUUCCUGCCCCAGGCG